RNAcentral lists this ribosomal RNA (447 nucleotides) under uncultured bacterium. RNAcentral's name for it is "partial 16S ribosomal RNA". It matches the Rfam family "Bacterial small subunit ribosomal RNA", at positions 330 to 793 of the family's 1533-position model. The record is from RNAcentral.
CCCAGACUCCUACGGGAGGCAGCGGUCGGGAAUAUUGCGCAAUGGAGGAAACUCUGACGCAGUGACGCCGCGUGCAGGAAGAAGGUUUUCGGAUUGUAAACUGCUUUAGACAGGGAAGAAAAAAGACAGUACCUGUAGAAUAAGCUCCGGCUAACUACGUGCCAGCAGCCGCGGUAAUACGUAGGGAGCGAGCGUUAUCCGGAUUUAUUGGGUUUAAAGGGUGCGUAGGCGGUUUUUUAAGUUAGUGGUUAAACGUCGGGGCUUCACCUUGAUUUGCCAUUAAUACUGUAAGACUCGAGUUCAGACGAGGUAGGCGGAAUAAGUUAAGUAGCGGUGAAAUGCUUAGAUAUAACGUAGAACUCCGAUAGCGAAGGCAGCUUACCAGACUGCGACUGACGCUGAAGCACGAGAGCGUGGGUAGCGAACAGGAUUAGAUACCCGCGUAAG